Molecule: unclassified non-coding RNA, 375 nt
Filed under: uncultured bacterium
Lineage: Bacteria
Description: contains 16S-23S intergenic spacer region
Source: RNAcentral
UCCUCUUUACAGAGGCAGUUUGUCCCGAGUCCCCGGCAUUACCCGCUGGUAACAGAUCAUGAGGGUUGCGCUCGUUGCGGGACUUAACCCAACAUUUCACAACACGAGCUGACAACAGCCAUGCACCACCUGUGCAGCACCCUUGACGGCGACCGCUUUUCGGCGGCUUGCAGCUGCAUGUCAAGCCCUGGUAAGGUUCUUCGCGUUGCAUCGAAUUAAGCCACAUGCUCCACCGCUUGUGCGGGCCCCCGCCAAUUCCUUUGAGUUUUAGCCUUGCGGCCGUACUCCCCAGGCGGGGCACUUAAUGCGUUAGCUGCGGCACGGGGGAGUCGACACCCCCCACACCUAGUGCCCAUCGUUUACGGCGUGGACUAC